Molecule: ribosomal RNA, 700 nt
Filed under: Pseudoalteromonas sp. Rep_3_4
Lineage: Bacteria; Pseudomonadati; Pseudomonadota; Gammaproteobacteria; Alteromonadales; Pseudoalteromonadaceae
Description: bacterial SSU rRNA
Rfam family: Bacterial small subunit ribosomal RNA
Source: RNAcentral
AACAGAAAGUAGCUUGCUACUUUGCUGACGAGCGGCGGACGGGUGAGUAAUGCUUGGGAACAUGCCUUUAGGUGGGGGACAACAGUUGGAAACGACUGCUAAUACCGCAUGAUGUCUACGGACCAAAGGGGGCUUCGGCUCUCGCCUAAAGAUUGGCCCAAGUGGGAUUAGCUAGUUGGUGAGGUAAUGGCUCACCAAGGCAACGAUCCCUAGCUGGUUUGAGAGGAUGAUCAGCCACACUGGAACUGAGACACGGUCCAGACUCCUACGGGAGGCAGCAGUGGGGAAUAUUGCACAAUGGGCGCAAGCCUGAUGCAGCCAUGCCGCGUGUGUGAAGAAGGCCUUCGGGUUGUAAAGCACUUUCAGUCAGGAGGAAAGGUUAGUAGUUAAUACCUGCUAGCUGUGACGUUACUGACAGAAGAAGCACCGGCUAACUCCGUGCCAGCAGCCGCGGUAAUACGGAGGGUGCGAGCGUUAAUCGGAAUUACUGGGCGUAAAGCGUACGCAGGCGGUUUGUUAAGCGAGAUGUGAAAGCCCCGGGCUCAACCUGGGAACUGCAUUUCGAACUGGCAAACUAGAGUGUGAUAGAGGGUGGUAGAAUUUCAGGUGUAGCGGUGAAAUGCGUAGAGAUCUGAAGGAAUACCGAUGGCGAAGGCAGCCACCUGGGUCAACACUGACGCUCAUGUACGAAAGCGUGGGG